CGUCGCCACGGGAAUACGAAGGGUGCAAGCGUUACUCGGAAUUACUGGGCGUAAAGCGUGCGUAGGUGGUGGUUUAAGUCCGUUGUGAAAGCCCUGGGCUCAACCUGGGAAUUGCAGUGGAUACUGGGUCACUAGAGUGUGGUAGAGGAUAGUGGAAUUUCCGGUGUAGCAGUGAAAUGCGUAGAGAUCGGAAGGAACAUCUGUGGCGAAGGCGACUAUCUGGGCCAACACUGACACUGAGGCACGAAAGCGUGGGGAGCAAACAGGAUUAGAUACCCCCGUAGUCCCUGUCUCUUAUACC
RNAcentral lists this ribosomal RNA (301 nucleotides) under uncultured bacterium. RNAcentral's name for it is "partial 16S ribosomal RNA". It matches the Rfam family "Bacterial small subunit ribosomal RNA", at positions 510 to 808 of the family's 1533-position model. The record is from RNAcentral.